Long non-coding RNA from Balaenoptera ricei (Rice's whale), 1206 nucleotides. RefSeq lists it as uncharacterized. The record is from RefSeq and is a predicted model, not a curated record. The transcript has 5 exons. NCBI's taxonomy places the organism in Eukaryota, Metazoa, Chordata, Mammalia, Artiodactyla, Balaenopteridae.
ACAGCGGCAGUUUCGCAGAAAGCCCUCAAGCCGACUUCAAAACAGUCUUGAAAACACCCUUCUCAAGCUCGAAGAAUGCCUGGAAUUCAGUGGCCUUUAUCCAACAUAAAGAUGUCCAACUCAGUUUUGACUGAGUUCCCUAUAGAAGAACCUCACAAUGUAGCCCCUGAAGACUGACAACACCCAGCAUGUUGACAAGCUCGGCCCCUCCCUUACAAAUGGGUCAGAAAGUGCAAAAAAAAAAAAGUUCUCCCAAACUCUGCCGAGCUGGGAGCACAGAUCUCGGCUCCCGGGCUGCGUGGGCUGACAAGCAUCUCCGGGGCUCUCAGGUGUGCGCACUUCUCAGGCUCCGCGGCUGAAACUCCGCCGGCAGCCCAGGCAGCGCCCACCUGCUCUCAACUAGCCAGCGUCUCCCUCGGCCCCCGUAAAUCCAAGGCCCCAGAUCCUGCCCGCUCCAGAUACUGCAAACGCUGACUGCGCCAACAGAAACUCAGAAGCCCUUUUCAUCUGGUUCAAGAGAAGCCCAACAGAAAGUGAAACAGCUCCCAUCCCUUGGCGGAGAAGGCUCCAGGCCAGGUCCCAGGAGAGCGAAUGGCAUGAAGGAGGACAGCCCGGCUCACAGGGUCCACAGCCUAAUCUGUGUCAUCAACUCAAAACUCAAUGGAAACACCUCUUUGGUCAUUGGAUAAAACCAUCUUCAAAAACACAAUGAUUUGAAUAUUUGAAAAUGAAUCACAUAGGCUGGAACUACAGCGUGAAGGUGAAUGGGCUUUUCCAAGCAAUAACUAGGAACAUGGAACCUGAACCAAACGCUUCAAUAAGGGUGCUGGAACAAUUAGCAGCCUUUUAAGAGAAAAAAAUUCUAGUUGACCUGACAUGAGAGAGUUGGGCUCUGCGAUUUCAAGGCCUGAGGUGGAGAGAUGCUGCAUGCAGGCUGGGGAAGUCCGGGGACAAUCUGCAGUGUCACAGGGCCAGUGCUGCUGAAGUAUGAGCAGAGCCCGUGAGCCACAACUACUGAGCCCAUGUGCCACAACUACUGAAGCCCACGUGCCUACAGCCCGUGCUCUGCAACAAGAGAAGCCACCACAAUGAGAAGCCCACACACCUCAACGAAGAGUAGCCCCCGCUCGCCGCAACUAGAUAAAGCCCACGCACAGCAACAAAGACCCAACGCAACCAAAAAUAAAUAAAUUUUUUUAAAAAAGG